This 501-nucleotide ribosomal RNA is filed under the name uncultured bacterium. Its description in RNAcentral is "partial 16S ribosomal RNA". It matches the Rfam family "Bacterial small subunit ribosomal RNA", at positions 28 to 507 of the family's 1533-position model. The record is from RNAcentral.
GACGAACGCUGGCGGCGUGCCUAAUACAUGCAAGUCGAGCGGACCGGAUUGGGGCUUGCCUUGAUUCGGUCAGCGGCGGACGGGUGAGUAACACGUGGGCAACCUGCCCGCAAGACCGGGAUAACUCCGGGAAACCGGAGCUAAUACCGGAUAACACCGAAGACCGCAUGGUCUUCGGUUGAAAGGCGGCCUUUGGGCUGUCACUUGCGGAUGGGCCCGCGGCGCAUUAGCUAGUUGGUGAGGUAACGGCUCACCAAGGCGACGAUGCGUAGCCGGCCUGAGAGGGUGACCGGCCACACUGGGACUGAGACACGGCCCAGACUCCUACGGGAGGCAGCAGUAGGGAAUCUUCCGCAAUGGGCGAAAGCCUGACGGAGCGACGCCGCGUGAGCGAAGAAGGCCGUCGGGUCGUAAAGCUCUGUUGUGAGGGACGAAGGAGCGUCGUUCGAAGAGGGCGGCGCGGUGACGGUACCUCACGAGAAAGCCCCGGCUAACUACGUG